AUCUGCUCAACAAAAUAAUCAAAAGGCUCAUACCAAGUUCAAUGUAAAGGGGACUUCAAGGCUCAGAAUCAAAAAGUUGAAGGGAAAAGGAUCUGCUCAACACAAUAAUCAAAAGGCUCAUAUCAAGUUCAAUGUAAAGGGGAAUUCAAGGCUCAGAAUAAAAAAGUUGAAGCCUAGUGGAAGAUGGACAUAAGCCAUCGUUAGUAACAUAUACUACGCUAUUAACUGACCUCACCAAUCAAAAGCAGUUCAAUUCAAUUCCAUCCCUCCUAUCUCAAGUCGAAGAAAAUAGGUUGAAGCCUGACUCAAUCUUCUUCAAUGCUAUAAUAAAUGCUUUUUCUGAAGCUGGAAAGAUCGAUGAAGUCAUGAAAAUUUUCUAGAAAAUGGCUGAAAGUGGAUGUAAACCAACAACCAGUACUUUCAACACUCUCAUUAAAGGAUACGGUAUCGCGGGUAAGCCUGAAGAAUCAUAGAAGCUCCUUGAUAUGAUGUCUCGUGAAGCAAAGGCAAGGCCAAGCCAGAAAACAUACAAUAUAUUGAUUAAAGCAUGGUGCGAUCAGAAAAACUUUAGUGAAGCUUGGAAUGCAGUGUAUAAGAUGUGUGCUUCUGGCAUGAGACCUGAUGUUGUCACGUAUAAUACUAUAGCAAGAGAUUAUGCUGAAAAUGGAGAAACAAAGAGAGAUGAGGAUAUGGUUCUUGAGAUGGAGAAUGAACUAAGGCCAAAUGAAUGCACUUUGGCUAUUAUAGUCAGAGGUUACUGCAAAGAAGGUAAAAUAGAAAAUGCAUUGAGGUUUGUGAAUCAGAUGAAAGAUAUGGGCGUGCGACCAAAUGUCAUUGUCUUCAAUACUUUGAUCAAGGGGAUUUCUAAAUGUUGAAGAUAUGGGAGGAGUUGAUGAAAGGGAAUGAUAGGAAGAAAAGAAUAAAAUAAACAAAGGUAGGUGCAUAUUUGUUUCUUUGUUAUCAGUGACUUGGAGGAAAAAUUUGGCUUAUUUUCCCUCUUUUUUCCCCUCCUCUUGCACUUUCCUCUGGUAGCCAAACUCACAAAAGAAAUCACUUGAUUUUCAUUCCUUUUCUUUUUUUAAUCCCCAUAUUGUAUUGUGCAACUUGCAGAUAACACCCUCAUAUAUACCUUCUAUAGCACUUAUCUCCUCUCAAAUCAUUUUUAACACUUUAUAACUUCUCAAUUCACGAGAAAAUGAAGGUAUCUGCAAUUUAUCCUUCUCAAAAGGUCAAUCCAAAGAUGAUAAGUGCUAAUAAAGUACUUGAGGGGUUGUAAGUGCGGCUUUAGUUAUAGAUGGGGGGUUUUCCACAAUUUACCUUAUGGUCUUUGGUUGUUCAAAAGUAAUAGGAGAGAAGAAAACUUGGAAGAGAGGGAAGAAUGGAUCUUUAUACUUAAUUGGGAUUCAACUAAUCUGAAAGAAAGAGUACCUUGAAAAUGUUUCAUCAAUUUCUUCUCUGAUUCGAAUUCUAACUACAAUAAAGAAAUAAGUUCAUGCAAGGUUGUUUUUCUCAGCUGAGAGAAAAACUCAGCUUCAAAUUGUACUUUUUGCGCAUUAUAGUUCCUGUACAAAAUACUCAAUUUCCUUGAGAGUCUGCCGAGAUGUCUCAAAUGUACAGGUCGUUUAAAAUCAA
Molecule: long non-coding RNA, 1632 nt
Organism: Asparagus officinalis (garden asparagus)
Lineage: Eukaryota; Viridiplantae; Streptophyta; Magnoliopsida; Asparagales; Asparagaceae
Exons: 3
Source: RefSeq, a predicted model, not a curated record